RNAcentral lists this unclassified non-coding RNA (404 nucleotides) under soil metagenome. RNAcentral's name for it is "partial contains 5.8S ribosomal RNA, internal transcribed spacer 2, and large subunit ribosomal RNA". The stretch from base 1 to 122 matches the Rfam family "5.8S ribosomal RNA", at positions 35 to 154 of the family's 154-position model. The record is from RNAcentral.
GAUGAAGAACGUAGCAAAAUGCGUUACUUGGUGUGAAUUGCAGAAUCCCGUGAACCAUCGAGUUUUUGAACGCAAGUUGCGCCCGAAGCCUUUUGGCCGAGGGCACGUCUGCCUGGGCGUCACGCAUCGCGUCGCCCCCCACAAUUCUCCGUAAAGGGAACGUGUGUUUUGGGGGCGGAUAUUGGUCUCCCGUGCUCAUGGCGUGGUUGGCCGAAAUAGGAGUCCUUUCGAUGGACGCACGAGCUAGUGGUGGUCGUAAAAACCCUCGUCUUUUGUUUCGUGCUGUUGCUCGCAAGGUAAACUCUUUAAAAACCCCAAUGUGUCGUCUCUUGACGACGCUUCGACCGCGACCCCAGGUCAGGCGGGACUACCCGCUGAGUUUAAGCAUAUCAAUAAGCGGAGGA